RNAcentral lists this long non-coding RNA (2513 nucleotides) under Sus scrofa (pig). RNAcentral describes it as "lncRNA (ENSSSCG00005039694.1)". Lineage: Eukaryota; Metazoa; Chordata; Mammalia; Artiodactyla; Suidae. The record is from RNAcentral.
UUUUUUUUUUCUUUUUUUUUUAGGGCUGCACCUGCAACAUGUGGAAGUUCCCAGACUAGGUGCUGAAUCGGAGCUGCAGCUGCUGGGUGACACCACAGCCACAGCCACACCAAAUCCAAGCCACAUCUGCAACCUAUACCACAGUUUGUGGCAAGGCCAGAUCCUUAACCCACUGAGCGAGGCCAGGGAUCGAACCCACAUCCUCAUGGAUAUUAGCUGGGUUCUUAAUGCGCUCAGCCACAAGGGGAACACCCCCCCACGACUGUACUAGCCAGGAUUUGCCUUCUCCUCCCAAGAAUCAAUGUUCGCCCCGACUAAGAAUGUGUGUCAUGAAGGGAUUAUGAGAAGCCUGGGCUGUUGAAGCAACAAGCAUGGACCUGGCUGUGCUAGCUGGUGGACGCCUGCCAUCUGUGGCCCACCCUUGUCCUCCAAGGCUGGGGGUGCCCCUUCUGGGCCCUGCCUGCCCCUCCUGCAUCAGAACGCUGUGUACCCAACAGGCACUCGGCAGGAUAACAGGGUGUGGAGACAACGGUUCUGGUCCCUGGCGCUUUCAGAACCAAAACAGGGUUUCAUCUGUCCAACAUAAAGCAGCAGCCGACGGGCCAGAACAAAGACUGUCAGUGCAGGGGACACGAGGGCUGGAGCCUCGGGGUCAGCUUCCUGCAGGGGCAGCGCUUGCUGGGGUCGGGGGGCCCACUGGGGCUGAAUGCGUUGAUGUCCACAAGCAGAAGCAGCAGGGGCAGGGGACAAUGCCAACCAUCCACAGUGACACGACCCCGUACAGCCAAGCGGCCCGACAUCUUCCAGAAGUAAGUGGCUUCCGGAAGCAGUCACUGAGUUGGACUAAAUCCGACCACGUGUCAGAAGCAGACAAGUUCGUCUGCAAUUUCCCUGCUUCAUUAUCAGCAGCUGCAAGAGACCCAGACAGGCUUCAGCUCCGUCUCAAAUGUCCGCUCAAUAAACCUCUGAGCAGGGUUUCACACCCUGGCCCCACGGACCGGAUGCACGGCUUCCCCGAAACUCACAGCCCUCUUUACUUCUUCUUCUUAUAGUUGCCAGACAGUGUUCUGUCCAUUUCCGCCGUGCAGCAAAGGGACCCAGUCGUGCACACACGCGUAGGUGUGUGUAUAUACGCAUACACCCUUUUUCUCACAUUAUCCCCCAUCGUGUCCCAUCACAAGUCCCAGCCUCUGAAUAACCAUCCCUUUCCUUUGAGAGCAGAACGCUCACACUCAGCUGCACAGCCGCGUGAGGCUGUGCCGCACGGGCGGCGGGCAUACACUUCAACUAUGUUCACCCCGACCAGGAAGCGAGGGUCAAAGUGAAGUCAACCAACAGCACUGUUGUUAACGAGCCCUUUGAACCGAGGCGGGCCCUUCAGGGCGGCUCGGGGCGUGUCCACGGCUGAGCGUCUCACCUUCCCAAGGAGCCUGAGAUGCAAACAGGGAAAUGGCGAGAAGCAGGGUCUGAGAGAGGAGGCUGGGAGAGAGGCCCCCUCCCGCACGGCCCAGGGUGUAAAAGAUACAGCCGUCUGCUGAAAGGACUGCUGACCUCACUAGAAUGUUUUUUAACUCAAGCCAGAAUGUUUCAACUGUGGAAAACCUCCACGCACAGAACACGGGACCGUUGCGAAGAUGCUAAUGUGACCCCCAGACCGGUCAGAACCAGGAGGAAACAAAGCAAUUCUGAAACCUGAGACAAAAGGUUCCCCUGGAGGCAACGUUCCAGCAGGAAGGCAGAUUUUCCCGGUUAAUCAACCAGAAAUGCAAGUUUGACAGCAGUGCACGGUGGGAGGCGUCCGGCAGGCAGGCUGUUGCACCUCCAACCAGCCAGGCACCUGCGGUCCCACUGUGGGGAUGGGGGCGACCAACCCGCCCGCCUUGGGGUGGCUUCACUGUAAAACCAAGAGGGCAAAGGGCAUGGGCGGUCGCCCCCACGUCUGAGAGCCUGGCUUCCACGAGCGAAGCCUGCUUCCAGCCCCACUGACCGUGAGAAGGAUCCUGCUUCUACCCCAAGGAGGUUGGUCAAGUCCCGAGCGUUCUUCCUUCUAAAACCUUCCUGACAGAAACUGAACACAGACCCCUCCGGAGGGAAGGGCACUCCCUGGGGACCUCGGGACCUUGUGGGCAAGGCUGGGUGGCACACAUACCUCCCUCCCACCGUCCCUGCACGGUUUUCACAAAGGCUGCCUGCACCCUGUCCUGCCCAGCACCCGACGUAGCACGGGACUGGCAAUGUCUGCCACACACCUGCAUCCAGCUCCCGAAACUGUGAGACCCACAUCUGAGUCAUCAGGCAUCCCCGAAAGGUGUCUGUUCACAAGCUAAACAUGUGCUAAGCAUCCGAACCUCUUCAAGGCUGGCCUUAUAAAAAUGUCGCACACACACACCCCUCACUCUGUGUUCCCACAUGCUUCCUUGAAUGGGGCUGCGGGAUGAACAGCCCGCACAGGAGGAACAGGGCAUGGCCUGAACCAGCCUAAUUCAGGCCGCCGGAGUGCCAGGAGGUGGGGG